RNAcentral lists this ribosomal RNA (208 nucleotides) under uncultured bacterium. RNAcentral describes it as "partial 16S ribosomal RNA". It matches the Rfam family "Bacterial small subunit ribosomal RNA", at positions 568 to 774 of the family's 1533-position model. The record is from RNAcentral.
CUCGUAGGCGGUUCAGUAAGUUGGGUGUGAAAGCUCCGGGCUCAACCCGGAGAGGCCACUCAAUACUGCUGUGACUAGAGUCCAGUAGAGGAGCGUGGAACUCCUGGUGUAGCGGUGAAAUGCGCAGAUAUCAGGAAGAACACCGGCAGCGAAGGCGGCGCUCUGGGCUGGUACUGACGCUGAGGAGCGAAAGCAUGGGUAGUAAACA